AGAAUCAACUUUGCCCGGGGAUGGGAUGCUAUGCGCUGUAGAAAGAAAUUAAAAAGUUACAAAUUUGAAGGAACAAUAUAUUCUAAAAAAAUGCAAUACCAGCCAUAAAGAAAAUGAGGAAACUUGUAAAUUAGUAUCAAAUGCUAAUGAGUACCACUUGGAAACUUCAACCAUGACGCACAGUAAACCUAAUAAACCCAUUAUUAAUUUCUUAAAUAGUCACACUAUUGAAUCACACUUUACAAGCAUCCUGGCAGCUCUAACAUGUGGAAAUGUCCAUCAUGGCAAUCCAUUAUCCAUUGGUAUUAAUUUUGUCUGUUCCCUUAAUUUGGAAACCAGUAACCAAACUAAUAUUACCACUGACAAAAAAAAAAUUGACGUGGAAGAAGUGAUAUCAAAAGAUUUACCAGCUUAGGAUAUUGCUGCUGACUUGGUGCCUAAUAGAGCGGAAUGGCAAAAAGGAUCCUUAUAGACUAUUCCAACUAGUUUGGGUUAAGCCUUUGUUAUUCUGAAGUUCAAAAAUGAUAAAUUAAAAUUUUCUAAUAUCUGUUUCUAUAACCUGUUUAUUUAGCAAUCUUCAAUUUGAAAAAGGAAAAGCUUAUCUAUAGUAUAACAAUGAAUUAUUCAACUUCAACAGCAUAUGCACACUUUUUUUUUCUUAGAAGACAAAUAGUGACAGAUUAUUUCCCAUUAUUCUUGAAAAGUAAACACUUACAGUCUGUUUAAACACUAUAAAUUUGCAAGAAUUGAAUAGAUUUCUUUUUGUUAAUUAUCGUGAUUGGAACUAUAAUAAGUGAAAGAGUUCAAUUUUUUAACUUAAAAGAAUUAAUUUUAAAAGAAAUAAAAGCAGUAUGAUUGUGUGAGAAUUCACUUUAUUUCUUUUCUUGCAGAUAAUUCACUCCAAACAAAGCCUUAAAUAGUCCAUGUAAUUGAAUUCAUAAAAGUUGAAAUCAUUUAAGCAAGCUUUCAAUCUACAAGACAAAACAAAACAAAAGUCAAAAGAAAGUUGAGAUCACAAAAAUAUAACCUGAAAUAAAGCAAGUGCCCAGCGAACUCUAUUGCUAAGGUAUGGAGAAGACACUGAACGGUUUACUGACAUUAUUAAUCAGUAGAAGGGUAGAAAAUUAAAGGAAUGCGUAUAUGUUACUAUGUUAGAAAAAAAUUCAAUAUUUACAAAGAAAUAUGUUGUACCUGUAUCAGUAUAGAUACAGCACCAAAAGAAUGCCAUAAUAAUAAAGGUAGACUAUUUUCACGAAUUGAAUCAUCCUGGAGUAUGAAAAAAAAAGUUACAAGAAACAUUAAUCUGAAGUUCUCUAUGUCUCCAAAAUGAGAUCAUAAAAUCCUAAAGGUCCUUACAACAUAAAUUAAAAUUUGAACGACGCCACUUGGACUGCUGAAAGCAAUCAACAGAGACAAUGGUGACAACUCCCACUAAAAAAUAAAAUUUAAAUUUGCGAUCAACAAUGGUGCCGAAUAUUCACGUUUCUUUUGAACAUACAUAUGUUCCAAAGAAUUGGAUUACUAUUGCCUUUGUCUAGACAUUAAGAAGGUGAUUUCAACCAUGUUUAAUUAUGAACAGGAAAACCUUGUCAUCUCAGGAUCAUCAACAAUGGCAUGCUUAAUUAUUGAUUCCACAUACAUAUAAGAGAAGAUGCAUAUACAUACCCGUUAUGCUGGAUAAUUUCUCAAGAUUUUUUUUCAGACCACAAAAGUCCUUUUCUCUUUAAGGUGAAAUUAUGGAAAGUUCAAGCUCAUAUGAAGAUCUGCUGAAUAACUAUUAGAUUAAAUAUUUACAUAUAAAUUUGUGCAUUCAUUAAUGCAUAUUUUUAUCAAUUGGGUAUACAAAUCUUGAUAUAAAUAUUUCAUCUAACAAUAAUUAAGCCAUUCUUCUACGAGUUCCAGCUUAUACACCAUUCUUCUUUCUUUAAAUAGUUCAAUAAAUAGGAAGAUUCAUGUUUGGCAAGGCGUGCAGUGCUAUCUUUCCUUUCUCCUAAUCAGAAGGAAAGAAAUUCAUAAUCUCAGAAUAAAACAGAAAACUACUUGCUACCCGUAUAAUUUCAAUAUCAGAUUAUUCUCAAAUGUUACUCAAAACUUGGGGGGAGGGGGUGAAGAAAAAGAAAAAGAAAAAGAAAAAGAAAAAGAAAAAGAAAAAGAAAACACCUAUAAAAUAUAACAAAAUCCCUUCUUUAAAUACAAAAGAUCUUUGAGUACUAAACCCAAAAGGUAAAAGAAAGCAAUACACAAAUUAUACAAAUUACACAAAUAAAAGUUAAUCGAAGAAAAAAAAAUGGAAAAAGAAAAACGUAAAAAACCUGGACUAGUGAUUGAAGAGCAGCCUCCCGUGUUUCUUUACAGUGUAAUGCUUGAAUCUGCUGAAUCACCAUAAGCAUUUCUGCUGAAUCCGGAUUCUCAGCCAUUGUCGUCAGACUCAGAUACACUUGAAAAGAAACGAACCAAAAGAAACAAAGAAGAGAAGUUUAAUCUUUUCAGUUCGCAAACAAUGUUUCUUUCGUCGUCUUGGUGAAUGUGAGAGCGAUGGAGAUGGAACAGUUGGAAAUAGAAUCCAAGACUUGAG
This 2575-nucleotide long non-coding RNA is filed under the name Manihot esculenta (cassava). Its description in RNAcentral is "long non-coding RNA (MESC_LNC007746)". Lineage: Eukaryota; Viridiplantae; Streptophyta; Magnoliopsida; Malpighiales; Euphorbiaceae. The record is from RNAcentral.